This 443-nucleotide ribosomal RNA is filed under the name uncultured bacterium. RNAcentral's name for it is "partial 16S ribosomal RNA". It matches the Rfam family "Bacterial small subunit ribosomal RNA", at positions 338 to 795 of the family's 1533-position model. The record is from RNAcentral.
CCUACGGGAGGCAGCAGUGGGGAAUAUUGGGCAAUGGGCGCAAGCCUGACCCAGCAACGCCGCGUGAAGGAAGAAGGCUUUCGGGUUGUAAACUUCUUUUCUCAGGGACGAAGCAAGUGACGGUACCUGCGGAAUAAGUCACGGCUAACUACGUGCCAGCAGCCGCGGUAAUACGUAGGUGGCAAGCGUUAUCCGGAUUGAAUGGGUGUAAAGGGCGUGUAGGCGGGAAAGCAAGUCAGAUGUGAAAAGGAUGGGCUGAAACUGUGGACUGCAUUUGAAACUGUUUUUCUUGAGUACUGGAGAGGCAGGCGGAAGUCCUGGUGUAGCGGUGAAAUGCGUAGAUAUUAGGAGGAACACCAGUGGCGAAGGCGGUGUGCUGGACAGCAACUGACGCUGAGGCGCGAAAGCGUGGGGAGCAAACAGGAUUAGAUACCCUGGUAGUC